Camellia sinensis is the source of this 2707-nucleotide non-coding RNA. The record is from RefSeq and is a predicted model, not a curated record. Lineage: Eukaryota; Viridiplantae; Streptophyta; Magnoliopsida; Ericales; Theaceae.
CAAUCAAUAUGAUCAGAAGAAAAAUAAGGCAAAUGCUUGAUAAUGUGUUGAAACUUUAAAGGGGAAGGAUGCCCCAAUCGUUGAUGCCAAGUGAGUGAACUAACAGAAGCAGGUGAGUGAGCAUGACAGGCCUGUGGUAAAGCAACAUGAGAAGGAGAGAACUGAUAUAAGCCAUCCACAUUAGAUCCACUAUGAAGAAUUUUGUUCGUAAGCUUGUCCUGGAUUUGAAAAGAGUUAGCAUCAAAAAUAAUAACACAAUUAUGAUCACGAGUGAGCUAUUGAACAGACAAAAGAUUGGACGCAAUAGCAGAUACAUGUAACAAAUUGUUCAAAGUAAAAGAACAGGUAGGAGCAGGCAAAAGACCUGUGCCAAUAUGAUGAAUGGGCAAAAAGGAACCAUUACCAACAGUCACUUGAUCCUGUCCUUCAUAAGGCUGUGAGAGAUGGAAAUUUGAGAGAUCAUUCGUGAGAUGAUUUGUAGCCGCAGAGUCAAUGUACCAGGGCACAAAGGAAGAACGAGGUGGUGAAGAAUUGUAAGAAGAUGAAGGAAUUGUUGCUGCAUAGGCUCUUGAGUUUGAGGGAUUAGCUGGAACUGGAGAUGAGGAAGACAGUGGUUAGAAAGAUGGAUCCAUUCGAUGCAAGCUAUCAAUAGCAGUGUGGCUUGGUUUGCCAUAAAUCUGACAACCAGUGGAAUUGAACUGUGAUCUGUUUCUGUUGUUAUUUGAUUAAAGAAUAUGGUUGUGCACAUCAACACGCUAGAUCGGUUUGAGUUUUUUUUUUCUAAUUUUUAUAAAUUUAUUUAUUUGUUUAUUUUUGUUUCUUCCUUUAAUAAUCACCAGGUAUAAGAAAUGAGAGAGGGAACUUGUCCAUGCAUAUUCUUCUGAGGGUCUUGGAGGAAUACUUGGGAGGGGUUUGAAGUCAAUUCCUUGGAAAAUAGGGGUUAUGUUGAGGCCGGUUUUGCCCACUUGUGGUAUAGUCUGUUUCUUCUAUCCUUCCCUCCGGGCAAGGUCGAGAGAGUCUGUGAAGCGGUACAAAAAUCUUCUCGCUGAUAUCUUCCCUCAGUCUCAGAGGUCGGUUGGCGUGACUUUUUGCAAUUCUUGUGCUUCUGUAUGUUGAGGAUGACUACUUCAAAGUAUUUUAUCAAGUACAUUGUUAUUGAGUACUCAACAAAAAGAGAAAAAAAGGGAAAAAGUACUUAGUGUUUGACAUUGAUCUGGUUGAUUUUUAUGCUCCGGGGAUUCAAAUGCGAUCUGAAAAUGGUGGGAAAAUUUAGAGAGAUGUUGAUUGGGAUAAUCUGCUUUUGAAGGUAAAAAAUGAAAAGGGCAACAUAUCAUUACACGAGGCCUUGAUGAACGGUCACCAAGUUGUAGCUUAUUAUUUGAUCACAGUAGAUCCAGAAGUGUUACAUUAUCUGAACAAUGAAGUGAAAUCAGCUAUGUUUCUAGCUGCUGAAGUAGGGUUUUAGGAACUUGUCACGCAUAUUCUAUGUGAUACAGUUGGGAUUGAAAAUACAAAUGAAAGACUUGAAGGGUAAUCACCUAUUCAUGCUGCCAUUUUAAAAAGAAACCGAGAACCAAGGUUCAUUCGAUUAAGAGAUGAAGAAGGAAGGACUCCACUUCACUUGAUUGCAUGAUUGGGCUAUCUUGAAGAGGUUCAGUACUUGUUAGGAAGGCAGAGUUCAGGUGCUAUUGCAAGGGACAACAAUGGCUUACUUCCUAUUCAUUUAGCAUCAAUUAAAGGCCAUAUUGAUGUUGUCCGGGCGUUGCUUCAGUAUUGGCCUGAUUCGAGGGAACUGCUCAACUGUCAUGGUCAAAAUAUUCUUCAUGUUGCAGCCAAGAGCAGAGGACAUAACAUGGUUAGUUACAUUCUUCAAACUCCUGAGGUUGACAAGUUUUAUAAACAUGAGGGAUAAGCAUGGAAACACAACCUUGCAUUUGGCCACCUUGGAUUGGCAUCCAAAGAUUGUUAGUACCCUAACAUGGGAUGAAAGAGUGGACUUAUAGUGAAUAAUGAGGGUAUGUCUGCUCUUGAUUCUGCUGAAUACUACAUGGAAAGAAUGUCCUCAUUUCGAAAGGUGGUCAUAGUUUAAAUUUGUGGGACAUUUUUAUCUUGCUACGGUUAACAUGGACUGCAUUGAAGGCCGCUGGUGCACCACUAGCUUACUGUAGAAAAGCCAUCAAUGCUAAAAAGAAACAAGCAUCUAUGCAACUGGAGCAAGUGAACAUAGACAGCUAUAAGGACCGAUUCAACACUCUUCUAUUUGUGUCCACCCUCAUUGCCACUGUAACUUUUGCAGCUGGUUGCACAAUACCCGGUGGUUAUAACAACAUUGAACCUGACCAAGGCAUGCCAACUAUGCUAAAACACAAGUGGUUUCACAUAUUCAUUUUCUGUGACACCAUAGCUCCAUUAUUACUGCUGUUACCCUCAUAUGGGCACAAUUAAGGGACCUCAAUUUGGUGCUUACUGCCUACAGAUUGGCGGCACUACCACUACUGGGGAUCACUCUCACCAAAGCAAGGAGGAAAUGAUAUCAACAGAGAUAUUUCCUCGUUUAAUUUAUUUGAUUUGUUGGUUAAUUGAGUUCCUUUUGUUUGCUUUUGGUCUUAUAUGUUGGUAUCUAAGUAGCUUGCAAGCAAGUAUGUAAUUGUACGUAAUGUUUUGAUAUUUUAGUGUUUUACAGUUAAUGUGGCUGUUAUAUGUUGGA